This 306-nucleotide ribosomal RNA is filed under the name uncultured bacterium. RNAcentral describes it as "partial 16S ribosomal RNA". It matches the Rfam family "Bacterial small subunit ribosomal RNA", at positions 507 to 807 of the family's 1533-position model. The record is from RNAcentral.
GACAGCAGUCGCCACGGGAAUACGAAGGGGGCUAGCGUUGUUCGGAAUUACUGGGCGUAAAGCGCACGUAGGCGGAUAUUUAAGUCAGGGGUGAAAUCCCAGAGCUCAACUCUGGAACUGCCUUUGAUACUGGGUAUCUUGAGUAUGGAAGAGGUGAGUGGAAUUCCGAGUGUAGAGGUGAAAUUCGUAGAUAUUCGGAGGAACACCAGUGGCGAAGGCGGCUCACUGGUCCAUUACUGACGCUGAGGUGCGAAAGCGUGGGGAGCAAACAGGAUUAGAUACCCGAGUAGUCCCUGUCUCUUAUAC